CUCAGAGGCCGGGAGAGGCUCGCCCCACCGCGGCGCAAUGUUUCUCGGAAAGCUGGGUUUCAGAAGUGCCGGCUGCCAAGUGCACCUCCGUCUUCCGCUUCCUUACAGUCCCCAGACCCCUGGACGUGAGCCUUCUUCCCAGCUUACAGAGGCGGAAAAAUGAGGCCAGGCACAAGUCACGCUAAUACCUAGCGAAAGCCCUCUUUCCAACCCUCUUCAAAAGUGGUUCUUUCGUCGUCCUUCCCACCCCGCUCCCCACCGUCCCUAAUUGCUUCAAAGCAAAGGACGAAGGAUCUCACUGAAGGGAGAGAGGAACCUGCCAAGUACCUAGAUCGUGCCUGGCUCCGUGGGUGCCGUCUUACAUCAAGCCAAUCCAC
RNAcentral lists this long non-coding RNA (377 nucleotides) under Marmota monax (woodchuck). The record is from RNAcentral. Lineage: Eukaryota; Metazoa; Chordata; Mammalia; Rodentia; Sciuridae.